AUGUUGCCGGCGGCGGCGGCGGCGGCGCUGCCGCUGGACGACGACAACCUGCUCCCCGAGAUCCUCCUCCGCCUCCCGCCGCUCCCGUCCUCCCUCCCCCGCGCCUCCGCCGUCUGCACGCGCUGGCGCAGUCUCAUCUCCGACCCAGCCUUCUCCCGCCGCUUCCGCAUCCACCACCGCCGCAACGCUCCACUCCUCGGCUUCAUCCAGCCAUUUGACGUCGGCCCAUCCUUCGAGCCUACUCUGGAGGCCCCAGAUCGUGUUCCGCCCGGGCGCCUCUCCUUGCAGUCCGACCUCCACCACUUCCGGGUCCUCGGGUGCCGCCAUGGCCUUGUGUUAAUCCUCGACACGACGAGGUUCCAGUUGCUGGUAUGGGACCCCGUCACCGGCCACCAGCACCGCGUAUCCAUUCCCACGGGAUUCGCUUGGUUCGGGACAGUGAUCUGCGGGGCGGUGCUCCGCGCUACUCCCGGGGACGUCCACUUCCAGAUCGUCUUGGUAAGAGACGACCACGAGAUGGAAGAAUCCCGAGCGCUGGCCUGCGUUUACUCGUCGAUGACCGAGGCGUGGGGCAAUCUCAUCCUAACACCGAUUCCAUUCAGGACCAUGGUUUCUAUUGAUGUGUUGGGUGUGCUGGUUGGGCAUUCCCUUUACUGGAUGCUUUAUGGUACUUCGUCAAAUAUCCUCCAGUUUGAUUUGGAGAGGGAGAGCCUGGCCCUGAUACCGGUGCCAGUGAAUAAGUCUGAUUUUGAAGGCUUCAUACUCAUGCGGGCAGAGGAUGGUGAGCUGAGUUUACUCUCCUUGUCAGGCUUCACCGCCCAAUUAUGGAAGAGGAACAUCAGCUGUAACGGUGUUCCAUCGCGGGGGAUAGUAAGAACUGUUGAAUUGGACAAGCUACUUUCCCUGGAUUCAGAGGAGUACGUAACCACGCAUGGCUUUGCUGAGGAUAAUAAUUUGGUGGUCCUGCGGGUCGGUAUCGGCACCAUCUUCACUGUCCAGAUUGAGUCACUACAGUUCAGGAAAGUUACCGACAACAGCAAAUGGUACUAUUAUCCAUUUGAAAGUUUCUAUGCUGCAGAACAGAUUAUGAAACUUCAUCUUUUCCAUGAAUGGACAGUACAAAUCGGUUUGACUAAUGACAUCAAUUGCUCUACUGGUAUCUAG
Molecule: ribosomal RNA, 1164 nt
Filed under: Triticum aestivum (bread wheat)
Lineage: Eukaryota; Viridiplantae; Streptophyta; Magnoliopsida; Poales; Poaceae
Description: partial small subunit ribosomal RNA
Source: RNAcentral